GCCACACUGGUGUAGUGGUUAUCAGAUUUGCCUAAAAACCAGAAGGUCCCCAGUUCGAGCCUGGGUAGUGUCA
This 73-nucleotide transfer RNA is filed under the name Hofstenia miamia. Its description in RNAcentral is "tRNA-Phe for anticodon AAA". Lineage: Eukaryota; Metazoa; Xenacoelomorpha; Acoela; Hofsteniidae. The record is from RNAcentral.